CCUACGGGAGGCAGCAGUGGGGAAUAUUGGACAAUGGGCGCAAGCCUGAUCCAGCCAUGCCGCGUGAGUGAUGAAGGUCUUAGGAUUGUAAAGCUCUUUCACCGGUGAAGAUAAUGACGGUAACCGGAGAAGAAGCCCCGGCUAACUUCGUGCCAGCAGCCGCGGUAAUACGAAGGGGGCUAGCGUUGUUCGGAUUUACUGGGCGUAAAGCGCACGUAGGCGGACUAUUAAGUCAGGGGUGAAAUCCCGGGGCUCAACCCCGGAACUGCCUUUGAUACUGGUAGUCUUGAGUUCGAGAGAGGUGAGUGGAAUUCCGAGUGUAGAGGUGAAAUUCGUAGAUAUUCGGAGGAACACCAGUGGCGAAGGCGGCUCACUGGCUCGAUACUGACGCUGAGGUGCAAAAGCGUGGGGAGCAAACAGGAUUAGAUACCCUGGUAGUCCACGCCGUAAACUAUGAGAGCUAGCCGUCGGGCAGUAUACUGUUCGGUGGCGCAGCUAACGCAUUAAGCUCUCCGCCUGGGGGGUACGGUCGCAAGAUUAAAACUCAAAGGAAUUGACGG
Molecule: ribosomal RNA, 560 nt
Filed under: uncultured Hyphomicrobiales bacterium
Lineage: Bacteria; Pseudomonadati; Pseudomonadota; Alphaproteobacteria; Hyphomicrobiales
Description: bacterial SSU rRNA
Rfam family: Bacterial small subunit ribosomal RNA
Source: RNAcentral